UUUGCUAUUGGUGAAGUUCGCGACUAGCAACUGAUUCGUUGUUCCACUAUAAUGAAGUGACAUAGGAUUAUCAAGACCAUCACUUACGGUCAAUAUUUCUCUAUGUCUUUUUCCAUCAUAGGAGAUAACUACAACGUUGUUCGAUCUGCACCCCACCACGAACACAUUACCAUCAUUAUCUACAUCAAUACCACGAGGACUCUUAAGAACGCUUUCGUUAUGAAAUGUCCAUUGUAUUUUACCUUGAAGGGUAUAACAAAUAACAGUGUGUUUCGCGUUGUUUAUAUGAUAUACGUUGUCCCUAAAGGUUGCAGUGUAACAUGCAAUGGGUAUUUUGUCUCGAACUAUAACACUUUUAGACUCGUCAUUUAGAUUGAUCAUUCCUAUACCUUUGUUUUCACCGGAAUAAAUCAAUUGAUUACCUUUCAGUGAUAUGCCAUCAAUAUUCUAAUCCAGUGCAAUUUAUUUCAUCAUUUGUCUUGUCACCAGGUUUAUUAUGGUAAUGGUCCCUGGAUUAUAAGAUGAUACAGCCAAUGUAUUGUCCUCACUAAUGUACACUAUAUCAAACGGGUAACACGGCAUCUUCACCUCAAAAUCUUGUAAUCCUGAAUUGCUGAAUAUUUUUACACUUUUUUCAGAGAGUUAAGUAAAUGCCAAUCUAUCAUCUGGCAGUAUGCAACAUCCGUAAACGAAGUCUCCUUGAGUUUCGAUGGAUUUGUGUAUCGUUAGCUUUAUAUUUUCUAUAGAUUUUGUUGGAACGAUUGGAAUCAUCAAUUGGGCUUGUCUGUCCUUCUUCUUGAUCAGAACUAUGUCGCAUGG
This 819-nucleotide long non-coding RNA is filed under the name Mytilus galloprovincialis (Mediterranean mussel). The record is from RNAcentral. Lineage: Eukaryota; Metazoa; Mollusca; Bivalvia; Mytilida; Mytilidae.